RNAcentral lists this ribosomal RNA (735 nucleotides) under Triticum aestivum (bread wheat). Its description in RNAcentral is "partial small subunit ribosomal RNA". Lineage: Eukaryota; Viridiplantae; Streptophyta; Magnoliopsida; Poales; Poaceae. The record is from RNAcentral.
CACAGGCGCCGCUCCCUCGCGCUCGUCUACAAGCUCGACUUCGCCAAGGCUUUCGAUUCAGUAGACUGGGGUGCGCUGCGCCGAACCCUCGAGGUGCGAGGGUUCCCUGACCAAUGGUGCUCUUGGCUGGAUUCGAUCUUCCGGUCCUCCCGAUCGGCGGUGCUCCUAAACGGCGUGCCUGGGAAAUGGUUCACGGUGCGCCGGGGGCUGCGACAGGAGGACCCGUGCUCGCCCUACCUCUUCCUCAUCGUCGCCGACGUGCUGCAGCAGAUGAUCCGGCAAGACGGCGGGCUCUUCCAUCCUCUUGUGGACGGAGAACCACCUCUCGUGCUGCAGUAUGCGGAUGAUACGCUGGUUAUUCUCAAGGCGGAUGCCGGAGCGGCUUCCCGUCUGCGACAGAUCCUCGACGACUUCGCGGCUGCCACGGGACUCACCAUCAACUUCUCCAAAAGCACGCUCGUGCCCAUGCAUGUUCCGGCGGACGUGCUGGACAUAACAGUCGGCGCCCUCGGCUGCGAUGUUCAAGGGUUCCCGCAGGCCUACCUCGGGCUCCCUCUCUCCUGGGAGAAACUCUGCUUCGCGGAUUUCCUCCCCAUGAUCGCCAAAGUCGACAAGUACUUGUGGGGUGGCGUGCGCGCCUUCUCUCCCCUGCCGGGCGGCUCGUCCUCAUCAAUGCCGUCUUGGAUGCUCUUCCCACGUACGCUAUGGCGGCUAUGUUGCUCCCUCCGGCGGUGA